RNAcentral lists this ribosomal RNA (305 nucleotides) under uncultured bacterium. RNAcentral's name for it is "bacterial SSU rRNA". It matches the Rfam family "Bacterial small subunit ribosomal RNA", at positions 333 to 636 of the family's 1533-position model. The record is from RNAcentral.
UUUUUCCUACGGGACGCAGCAGUGAGGAAUAUUGGUCAAUGGCCGCAGGGCUGAACCAGCCACGUCGCGUGAGGGAUGACGGUCCUAUGGAUUGUAAACCUCUUUUGUCAGGGAGCAAAGGGCGCCACAUGUGGCGCUUUGCGAGUACCUGAAGAAAAAGCAUCGGCUAACUCCGUGCCAGCAGCCGCGGUAAUACGGAGGAUGCGGGCGUUAUCCGGAUUUAUUGGGUUUACAGGGUGCGCAGGCGGAAUGUCAAGUCAGCGGUAAAAUUUCGGUGCUCAACCCCGUCGUGCCGUUGAAACUGG